RNAcentral lists this ribosomal RNA (403 nucleotides) under uncultured bacterium. RNAcentral's name for it is "bacterial SSU rRNA". It matches the Rfam family "Bacterial small subunit ribosomal RNA", at positions 28 to 416 of the family's 1533-position model. The record is from RNAcentral.
GACGAACGCUGGCGGUGUGCCUCAAACAUGCAAGUCGAGGGAGGGUUGGCGUCUGGCUUGCCAGACGUUCAACUCUACCGGCGAACGGGUGAGUAACACGUGGGCAAUCUGCCCUGAAGACGGGGACAACCUCGGGAAACCGUGGCUAAUACCCGAUAUCCUCCUUGGGGGGCAUCCCCUAGGAAGGAAAGGUCCGCAAGGUCCGCUUCAGGAGGAGCCCGCGGCCUAUCAGCUUGUUGGUGGGGUCACGGCCUACCAAGGCUAUGACGGGUAGCUGGUCUGAGAGGACGAUCAGCCACACUGGGACUGAGACACGGGCCCAGACUCCUACGGGAGGCAGCAGUUGGGAAUUUUGGGCAAUGGGCGCAAGCCUGACCCAGCGACACCGCGUGGGAUGAAGGCC